This 510-nucleotide ribosomal RNA is filed under the name uncultured bacterium. Its description in RNAcentral is "partial 16S ribosomal RNA". It matches the Rfam family "Bacterial small subunit ribosomal RNA", at positions 28 to 507 of the family's 1533-position model. The record is from RNAcentral.
GACGAACGCUGGCGGCGUGCUUAACACAUGCAAGUCGAACGAAGAGCGAUGGAAGCUUGCUUCUAUCAAUCUUAGUGGCGAACGGGUGAGUAACGCGUAAUCAACCUGCCCUUCAGAGGGGGACAACAGUUGGAAACGACUGCUAAUACCGCAUACGAUCUGACCUCGGCAUCGAGGAUAGAUGAAAGGUGGCCUCUAUUUAUAAGCUAUCACUGAAGGAGGGGAUUGCGUCUGAUUAGCUAGUUGGAGGGGUAACGGCCCACCAAGGCGAUGAUCAGUAGCCGGUCUGAGAGGAUGAACGGCCACAUUGGGACUGAGACACGGCCCAGACUCCUACGGGAGGCAGCAGUGGGGAAUCUUGCGCAAUGGACGAAAGUCUGACGGAGCAACGCCGCGUGAGUGAUGACGGCCUUCGGGUUGUAAAGCUCUGUUAAUCGGGACGAAAGGCCUUCUUGCGAAUAGUUAGAAGGAUUGACGGUACCGGAAUAGAAAGCCACGGCUAACUACGUG